CAGAUGGGGGCAAGGUGGAUCCACAGGUAAAGCGUUGGGCUCACAGUUCUGAGGACCCAGGUUCAAUCCUCGCCCUGCCUAUGUGGAGUUUGCAUGUUAUUCCUGUGCCUGUGGGAGGGUUGGCAGUCUUCCAGUACCAGCCGUGUUUGCAGUGAUCUCUCGAUAGAAAAUGGCGGCACAGUGAAUCCACUGGUAAAGCGUUGGCCUCACAGUUCUGAGGACCCGAGUUUGAUCCCGGCCCCUCCUGUGUGGAGCUUGCAUGCUUCUCCCCGUGCCUGUGUGAGUUUUCUCCGGGCACUGCGGUUUCCUCCCACAUCCCAAAAACAUGCAAUAUUAAUUGGACACCCUAAAUUGACCCUUGGUGUGAUUGUGAGUGUGGCUGUUUGUCUCGAUGUGCCCUGCGAUUGGCUGGCAACCAGUUCAGUGUGUACCCCGCCUCCUCCCCGUUGACAGCUGGGAUAGGCCCCAGCAAUCCCUGUGACCCUUGUGAGGAUAAUUGGCAGGGUUCAUACUCAGUCUGAUAAAAAAAAUUUAAGGGCUUUUUAGGGGCAUUCUUAGGGGCCGACACGAAAAAUUUAGGGCUGACACGGAAAAAAUUUAGGGCCGACACGAAAAAUUUAGGGCCAUCGUGGGAAAUCAAGAGUAAGGAAAAAAGACUCACCCAAUGGUGCCAUCAACUGUUCUUGGUUCAUCAAAUGUUCCAGUACCUCAGUACCUGUGACAGUGAUCACCUGUCGCCCCUUGUGGUAGUUCUCAUUGAUAUGACCAUUGUCAAUGUCUUCACAUAACAGUCUACAGAAAAACAGAUUCUAACUACAAUUGCAACUAUAUACACAAAUGUCUUCUACUGAUGUCUGUCUCAGCACCCCUACGAGUCCAGCUCCUUGAGCCUACCCAGUGCCUCCUCUAUUUGUUGCUGCAGAGGUGCCAAAGAGGCUCUCUUGUCCUUUGCUCUGCCUCUGAGUGCAUUGGCCUCGGUGAUAAACCUCAGAUUUCCCUUUUCUUCUGCCUCCUCACACAGCCUGUCAGCCUUCUCAAUAAGCGUCGAUAUGUCAGUCUCUAUUCUGGCUUUUUUGGCUUUGAGGCAGGAGAGAUGAAAAGUGGGCAGCGAUGCUAAAUGUAGCCAGGUACGAAGUUUUCCUUUCCCCACAGUGGUAGUUUUUAGCAAUGUCACUGUCUGGGAACAUGACUGCGAACACUUUCGAAUUAUUUUCACAAGAUUUGUAACUGUAAUGGUUGCAGAUCACUAUUAACGUCCACACGAUCUCUGCCUUUAACGAGUCCGUCUUCCUGUAUUGAACUACGUUCAUAAAGCCUGACUUCUGGCUGGACAACUGUUGGUGCGCAUUAGGGAUCGCAACGGGGUACAAAUAACCGGUUUUCAUUUUUUUUAAAACCGAAAACGUAAUCGGACUUUCGAAAUCGGUUAAAAUUUCCAAUCAUUUCUUCCGGUUCCGGUACUCCACAUUGCGCUAUUUUUUCAACAUCAUUUCCACUUUUUUCAAGUUUCAACUGUUCGGUUAAAACUGGUUAUGAAAGUAAGUGUUUUUUUUUGCGAUCCCUAGUGCGCAUGCACUGCUAGUACCACUGCCUGAAGUUGAUGCUUCACUAUCUUUAUAUUUUAGAAACAGAUUCAUACCGUUUUUCCGGUGCGACUCCAGCGCUUUGACGCCCAUUUUUUCAAGCUGGUAACUCUGCUUGCACAAAUGGCAGUAAAACAUG
This is a long non-coding RNA of Syngnathoides biaculeatus (alligator pipefish), 1722 nucleotides long. RefSeq lists it as uncharacterized. NCBI's taxonomy places the organism in Eukaryota, Metazoa, Chordata, Actinopteri, Syngnathiformes, Syngnathidae. The transcript is spliced from 3 exons. The record is from RefSeq and is a predicted model, not a curated record.